GCCGGGCGUGGUGGCACGCGCCUGUAAUCCCAGCUACUCAGGAGGCUGAGGCAGGAGAAUUGCUAGAACCCAGGAGGCAGAGGUUGCAGUGAGCCGAGAUCGUGCCACUGCACCCCAGCCUGGGCGACAGAGCGAGACUCUGUCUCAA
RNAcentral lists this non-coding RNA (148 nucleotides) under Gorilla gorilla gorilla (western lowland gorilla). The record is from Rfam by way of RNAcentral. Lineage: Eukaryota; Metazoa; Chordata; Mammalia; Primates; Hominidae.